CUGGCUCAGAUUGAACGCUGGCGGCAGGCCUAACACAUGCAAGUCGGACGGUAGCACAGAGGAGCUUGCUCCUCGGGUGACGAGUGGCGGACGGGUGAGUAAUGUCUGGGGAUCUGCCCGAUAGAGGGGGAUAACCACUGGAAACGGUGGCUAAUACCGCAUAACGUCGCAAGACCAAAGAGGGGGACCUUCGGGCCUCUCACUAUCGGAUGAACCCAGAUGGGAUUAGCUAGUAGGCGGGGUAACGGCCCACCUAGGCGACGAUCCCUAGCUGGUCUGAGAGGAUGACCAGCCACACUGGAACUGAGACACGGUCCAGACUCCUACGGGAGGCAGCAGUGGGGAAUAUUGCACAAUGGGCGCAAGCCUGAUGCAGCCAUGCCGCGUGUAUGAAGAAGGCCUUCGGGUUGUAAAGUACUUUCAGCGGGGAGGAAGGCGAUGUGGUUAAUAACCGUAUCGAUUGACGUUACCCGCAGAAGAAGCACCGGCUAACUCCGUGCCAGCAGCCGCGGUAAUACGGAGGGUGCAAGCGUUAAUCGGAAUUACUGGGCGUAAAGCGCACGCAGGCGGUCUGUUAAGUCAGAUGUGAAAUCCCCGGGCUUAACCUGGGAACUGCAUUUGAAACUGGCAGGCUUGAGUCUCGUAGAGGGGGGUAGAAUUCCAGGUGUAGCGGUGAAAUGCGUAGAGAUCUGGAGGAAUACCGGUGGCGAAGGCGG
This 716-nucleotide ribosomal RNA is filed under the name Pantoea ananatis. RNAcentral's name for it is "bacterial SSU rRNA". It matches the Rfam family "Bacterial small subunit ribosomal RNA", at positions 19 to 724 of the family's 1533-position model. Lineage: Bacteria; Pseudomonadati; Pseudomonadota; Gammaproteobacteria; Enterobacterales; Erwiniaceae. The record is from RNAcentral.